Molecule: ribosomal RNA, 402 nt
Filed under: uncultured bacterium
Lineage: Bacteria
Description: bacterial SSU rRNA
Rfam family: Bacterial small subunit ribosomal RNA
Source: RNAcentral
UGGGGAAUAUUGCACAAUGGGCGAAAGCCUGAUGCAGCAACGCCGCGUGAGUGAUGAAGGCCUUCGGGUUGUAAAGCUCUGUCUUUUGGGACGAUAAUGACGGUACCAAAGGAGGAAGCCACGGCUAACUACGUGCCAGCAGCCGCGGUAAUACGUAGGUGGCAAGCGUUGUCCGGAAUUACUGGGCGUAAAGAAUGCGUAGGUGGAUAUGCAAGUCAGAUGUGAAAUACCCGGGCUCAACUUGGGUGCUGCAUUUGAAACUAUAUAUCUAGAGUGCAGGAGAGGAAAGCGGAAUUCCUAGUGUAGCGGUGAAAUGCGUAGAGAUUAGGAAGAACACCAGUGGCGAAGGCGGCUUUCUGGACUGUAACUGACACUGGGGCAUGAAAGCGUGGGGAGCAGACA